Molecule: ribosomal RNA, 574 nt
Filed under: uncultured bacterium
Lineage: Bacteria
Description: bacterial SSU rRNA
Rfam family: Bacterial small subunit ribosomal RNA
Source: RNAcentral
CGCUGGCGGCAGGCUAACCAUGCAAGUCGAACGGUAACAUGACUAGCUUGCUAGUUGAUGACGAGUGGCGGACGGGUGAGUAACGCGUAGGAAUCUACCCAGUAGCGGGGGAUAAGCCAGAGAAAUUUGGUCUAAUACCGCAUACGCCCUUCGGGGGAAAGCAGGGGAUCUUCGGACCUUGCACUAUUGGAUGAGCCUGCGUGAGAUUAGCUUGUUGGUGAGGUAAUGGCUCACCAAGGCGACGAUCUCUAGCUGGUCUGAGAGGAUGAUCAGCCACACUGGAACUGAGACACGGUCCAGACUCCUACGGGAGGCAGCAGUGGGGAAUAUUGCACAAUGGGCGCAAGCCUGAUGCAGCCAUGCCGCGUGUGUGAAGAAGGCCCUAGGGUUGUAAAGCACUUUCAGCAGUGAGGAAAGGCUAGUAGUUAAUACCUGCUAGCUGUGACGUUAACUGCAGAAGAAGCACCGGCUAACUCCGUGCCAGCAGCCGCGGUAAUACGGAGGGUGCGAGCGUUAAUCGGAAUUACUGGGCGUAAAGCGCGCGUANGUGGAUUGGUCAGUCAGAUGUGAAAGC